RNAcentral lists this ribosomal RNA (253 nucleotides) under uncultured bacterium. RNAcentral describes it as "partial 16S ribosomal RNA". It matches the Rfam family "Bacterial small subunit ribosomal RNA", at positions 524 to 776 of the family's 1533-position model. The record is from RNAcentral.
UACGAAGGGGGCUAGCGUUGCUCGGAAUCACUGGGCGUAAAGGGUGCGUAGGCGGGUCUUUAAGUCAGGGGUGAAAUCCUGGAGCUCAACUCCAGAACUGCCUUUGAUACUGAGGAUCUUGAGUUCGGGAGAGGUGAGUGGAACUGCGAGUGUAGAGGUGAAAUUCGUAGAUAUUCGCAAGAACACCAGUGGCGAAGGCGGCUCACUGGCCCGACACUGACACUGAGAGACGAAAGCUAGGGGAGCGAAUGGG